GUCUCAAAGAUAGAUUAAGCCAUGCAUGUCUAAGUAUAAGCAAUUACACGGCGAAACUGCGAAUGGCUCAUUAUAUAAGUUAUCGUUUAUUUGAUAGCACCUUACUACUUGGAUAACCGUGGUAAUUCUAGAGCUAAUACAUGCUAAAAAUCCCGACUUCGGAAGGGAUGUAUUUAUUAGAUUAAAAACCAAUGCCCUCUGGGCUCUCUGGUGAUUCAUGAUAACUUCUCGAAUCGCAUGGCCUUGCGCCGGCGAUGGUUCAUUCAUAUUUCUUCCCUAUCAACUUUCGAUGUUUGGGUAGUGGCCAAACAUGGUUGCAACGGGUAACGGAGGGUUAGGGCUCGACCCCGGAGAAGGAGCCUGAGAAACGGCUACUACAUCCAAGGAAGGCAGCAGGCGCGCAAAUUACCCAAUCCCGACACGGGGAGGUAGUGACAAUAAAUACUGAUACAGGGCUCUUUUGGGUCUUGUAAUUGGAAUGAGUACAAUUUAAAUCCCUUAACGAGGAACAAUUGGAGGGCAAGUCUGGUGCCAGCAGCCGCGGUAAUUCCAGCUCCAAUAGCGUAUAUUAAAGUUGUUGUGGUUAAAAAGCUCGUAGUUGAACCUUGGGCCUGGCUGGCCGGUCCGCCUCACCGCGUGCACUGGUCCGGCCGGGCCUUUCCCUCUGUGGAACCCCAUGCCCUUCACUGGGUGUGGCGGGGAAACAGGACUUUUACUUUGAAAAAAUUAGAGUGCUCCAGGCAGGCCUAUGCUCGAAUACAUUAGCAUGGAAUAAUGAAAUAGGACGUGCGGUUCUAUUUUGUUGGUUUCUAGGACCGCCGUAAUGAUUAAUAGGGACAGUCGGGGGCAUCAGUAUUCAAUUGUCAGAGGUGAAAUUCUUGGAUUUAUUGAAGACUAACUACUGCGAAAGCAUUUGCCAAGGAUGUUUUCAUUAAUCAGGAACGAAAGUUAGGGGAUCGAAGACGAUCAGAUACCGUCGUAGUCUUAACCAUAAACUAUGCCGACUAGGGAUCGGACGAUGUUAUUUUUUGACUCGUUCGGCACCUUACGAGAAAUCAAAGUGCUUGGGCUCCAGGGGGAGUAUGGUCGCAAGGCUGAAACUUAAAGGAAUUGACGGAAGA
RNAcentral lists this ribosomal RNA (1121 nucleotides) under uncultured fungus. Its description in RNAcentral is "SSU rRNA". It matches the Rfam family "Eukaryotic small subunit ribosomal RNA", at positions 34 to 1163 of the family's 1831-position model. The record is from RNAcentral. Lineage: Eukaryota; Fungi.